Callithrix jacchus (white-tufted-ear marmoset) is the source of this 300-nucleotide unclassified non-coding RNA. It matches the Rfam family "Metazoan signal recognition particle RNA". From Rfam's summary of the family: The signal recognition particle (SRP) is a universally conserved ribonucleoprotein. It is involved in the co-translational targeting of proteins to membranes. The record is from Ensembl. NCBI's taxonomy places the organism in Eukaryota, Metazoa, Chordata, Mammalia, Primates, Cebidae.
GCUAGGCGUGGUGGCGCGUGCCUGUAGUCCCAACUACUCGGGAGGCUGAAGUGGGAGAAUCGCUUGAGCCCAGGAGUUCUGGGCUGUAGUGCACUGUACAGAUCGGGUGUCCGCACUAAGUUCGGCAUCAGUAUGGCGACCUCCCAGGAGCUGGGGACCACCAGGUUGCCUAAAGAGGGGUGAACCGGCCUAGGUCAGAAACUGAGCAGGUCAAACCUCUGGUGCUGAUCAGUAGUGAGAUUGCGCCUGUGAAUAGCCACUGCACUCCAGCCUAGGCAACAUAGCAAGAUCCCAUCUCUA